UUUUAAUCAACUGUGUGUUCUUCCAUAGAACGUCUUUUUGGCUGGUUUUCUGUUAUUGAACAUUUAGGUUACUUCUGAUUUUUUUUGUUAUCAUUGUUAUUAGAAGUGAUGUUCCAAUUAUUUGUCUCUCCGCAAAUCUGCAUGAGCCACUGCACCCAGUCCUCAUUUAGAUUUAUUAAACUUUCAUGGUUCGAGCUUUCCAUAUGUUUUGUUUGUGACAUGGUCUCUCUGGAGUACACUGGUACAAGCCUUGAACUCCUGGGCUUAAAUGACCCUCCCACCCCAGCCUCCCAAAGUACUGGGAUUACAGGUGUGAGCCACUGUGCUUGGCUUCCCCUGCUCCUCAGAUUCUUCAGGUAGAAACUUAAGUUAUUGAUUUGAGCCUCCCUUUUUCUUAAUCCAAAGCUAAAAACUUUUGAGUGUUGCUUUUUUACAUCUCAUAAAUUUGGAUAUAUUGGGGUUUUGUUUGCAUUUAGUUUAAAAUUCUUUUUUUUUUUUUUUUUGAGACGGAGUCUCACUCUGUUGCUCAGGCUGGAGUGCAGUGGCAUAAUCCUGGCUCACUGCAACCUCCGCCUCCCAAGUUCAAGCGAUUCUCCUACCUCAGCCUCCCGAGUAGCUGGGAUUACAGGCACAUGCCACCAUGCCCAGCUAAUUUUGUAUUUUUAGUAGAGACAGGGUUUCACAUGUUGGCCAGGCUGGUCUCCAACUCCUGACCUCAGGUGAUCCACCCACCUAGACCUCCCAAAGUGCCAGGAUUACAGGCGUGAGCCACCGAGCCCGGCCCAGUUUAAAAUAUUUUCUAAUUUCCUUUGUGAUUUCUUCCUUGUUACAUGGGUUAUUUAGAAGUGUAUUAGGCUCCAUGUAUUUGAGGAUUUCCCAAGUCUUUUUCUGUUGUUGAUUUCUAAUUUAAUUUCAUUAUUUCAUUUUUUUUUUUAUUUACCAAGGCUUGUUUUAUGUCCCAGAAUGGUGUCUUUUAGUGGAUGUUCCAUGUUCACUUGAGUAGAAUGUGUAGUCUGCUGUCAUUGGGUGGAAUGUUCUGUAAAUGUCAGCCAAGUUAAGUUGGUUGGUAGUGAUGGUAAGGUUUGCUUGUUCUGUCAGUUACCAAAAGAGGAGUUUUGAAUUAUUCAACUAAAUUGUAGAUUUGUUCCUCCCCCGCACCCCCCACUUUUUUUUGGCCAUUUUUGCUUUAUUUAUUUCGAAGUUUUCUGUUGGUGUAUACACGUUUAUGAUUGUAUGGCUUCUUGAUGAACUGACCUCUUUAUUAUUAUGUAACAUAUCUCUUCAUGUCUAGUUAUAUUCCUUGUUCUGAAGUCCAUUUCAUCUGGUAUUAGUGUUGCCACUCGUGCUUUCUUUUGAUUAAAGUUCACAUGAUAUAUCUUAUU
Molecule: long non-coding RNA, 1382 nt
Filed under: Homo sapiens (human)
Lineage: Eukaryota; Metazoa; Chordata; Mammalia; Primates; Hominidae
Description: HSALNT0023066
Source: RNAcentral